GGAUGAACGCUGGCGGCGUGCCUAAUACCUGCAAGUCGAGCGAACAGACGAGGAGCUUGCUCCUCUGACGUUAGCGGCGGACGGGUGAGUAACACGUGGAUAACCUACCUAUAAGACUGGGAUAACUUCGGGAAACCGGAGCUAAUACCGGAUAAUAUAUUGAACCGCAUGGUUCAAUAGUGAAAGACGGUUUUGCUGUCACUUAUAGAUGGAUCCGCGCCGCAUUAGCUAGUUGGUAAGGUAACGGCUUACCAAGGCAACGAUGCGUAGCCGACCUGAGAGGGUGAUCGGCCACACUGGAACUGAGACACGGUCCAGACUCCUACGGGAGGCAGCAGUAGGGAAUCUUCCGCAAUGGGCGAAAGCUUGACGGAGCAACGCCGCGUGAGUGAUGAAGGUCUUCGGAUCGUAAAACUCUGUUAUUAGGGAAGAACAAAUGUGUAAGUAACUAUGCACGUCUUGACGGUACCUAAUCAGAAAGCCACGGCUAACUACGUG
RNAcentral lists this ribosomal RNA (498 nucleotides) under uncultured bacterium. Its description in RNAcentral is "partial 16S ribosomal RNA". It matches the Rfam family "Bacterial small subunit ribosomal RNA", at positions 27 to 507 of the family's 1533-position model. The record is from RNAcentral.